Molecule: ribosomal RNA, 253 nt
Filed under: uncultured bacterium
Lineage: Bacteria
Description: partial 16S ribosomal RNA
Rfam family: Bacterial small subunit ribosomal RNA
Source: RNAcentral
UACAGAGGUCCCGAGCGUUGUUCGGAUUCAUUGGGUGUAAAGGGUGCGUAGGCGGCUUCCUAAGUUUGAUGUGAAAUCCUGGGGCUCAACCCUGGAACUGCAUUGAAUACUGGGAGGCUAGAGUACUGGAGAGGAAACUGGAAUUUACGGUGUAGCAGUGAAAUGCGUAGAGAUCGUAAGGAAGACCAGUGGCGAAGGCGAGUUUCUGGACAGUUACUGACGCUGAGGCACGAAGGCCAGGGGAGCAAACGGG